RNAcentral lists this ribosomal RNA (480 nucleotides) under uncultured bacterium. RNAcentral's name for it is "partial 16S ribosomal RNA". It matches the Rfam family "Bacterial small subunit ribosomal RNA", at positions 28 to 506 of the family's 1533-position model. The record is from RNAcentral.
GAUGAACGCUGGCGGCGUGCCUAACACAUGCAAGUCGAACGGAGAUUACGGACGGAAGUUUUCGGAUGGAAGCCUGUAAUUCUUAGUGGCGGACGGGUGAGUAACGCGUGGGCAACCUGCCCUAUACAGGGGGAUAGCAGCUGGAAACGGCUGGUAAGACCGCAUAAGUCGGUUAAAUCGCAUGAUUUGAUCGGGAAAUGAGCAAUCAGGUAUAGGAUGGGCCCGCGUCCGAUUAGCCAGUUGGCAGGGUAAAAGCCUACCAAAGCGACGAUCGGUAGCCGGACUGAGAGGUCGGACGGCCACAUUGGGACUGAGACACGGCCCAAACUCCUACGGGAGGCAGCAGUGGGGGAUAUUGCACAAUGGAGGAAACUCUGAUGCAGCGACGCCGCGUGAGUGAAGAAGUAUUUCGGUAUGUAAAGCUCUAUCAGCAGGGAAGAUGAUGACGGUACCUGACUAAGAAGCCCCGGCUAACUACGU